GAUGAACGCUGGCGGCGUGCCUAAUACAUGCAAGUCGAGCGAACAGACGAGGAGCUUGCUCCUCUGACGUUAGCGGCGGACGGGUGAGUAACACGUGGAUAACCUACCUAUAAGACUGGGAUAACUUCGGGAAACCGGAGCUAAUACCGGAUAAUAUAUUGAACCGCAUGGUUCAAUAGUGAAAGACGGUUUUGCUGUCACUUAUAGAUGGAUCCGCGCCGCAUUAGCUAGUUGGUAAGGUAACGGCUUACCAAGGCAACGAUGCGUAGCCGACCUGAGAGGGUGAUCGGCCACACUGGAACUGAGACACGGUCCAGACUCCUACGGGAGGCAGCAGUAGGGAAUCUGCCGCAAUGGGCGAAAGCCUGACGGAGCAACGCCGCGUGAGUGAUGAAGGGCUUCGGAUCGUAAAACUCUGUUAUUAGGGAAGAACAAAUGUGUAAGUAACUAUGCACGUCUUGACGGUACCUAAGCAGAAAGCCACGGCUAACUACGU
RNAcentral lists this ribosomal RNA (496 nucleotides) under uncultured bacterium. RNAcentral's name for it is "partial 16S ribosomal RNA". It matches the Rfam family "Bacterial small subunit ribosomal RNA", at positions 28 to 506 of the family's 1533-position model. The record is from RNAcentral.